This 553-nucleotide long non-coding RNA is filed under the name Homo sapiens (human). Its description in RNAcentral is "long non-coding RNA NONHSAT101224.2". Lineage: Eukaryota; Metazoa; Chordata; Mammalia; Primates; Hominidae. The record is from RNAcentral.
GUGUACCAGGCCCCAGAGGCAGCGGAAAGGGAGACUGUGGGGAACUAGGAGCAACAGCAGCAUGGACCAAAGCAGUGAAGGAUGUAUGAAAAAGAUUAGCAGUGUGAAUCUUGACAAACUUAUAAAUGACUUCUCACAGAUAGAAAAGAAAUGGUAGAAACCAAUGGAAAGAACAAUAUACUGGAUAUUCAGUUGGAAAAAAGUAAUUGCCUAUUAAAAGUAAUGCAAGCAAAGGAGGUCUCCAUUAAAGAAGAUGUGCUACUCUUCAUAAUAUAAUAAAAGGGCUACAACAGACCAUUGAAUAUCAACAGAAUUUGAAAGUGAAAAUGAACAACUAAAAAUAAGUGCUGAUCUUAUAAAAGAGAAGUUAAAGUCUCAUGAACAGAAUAUAAGAAUAAUAUUGCCAAACUUGUAAGUGAAAUGAAAAUCAAAGAGGAGGGAUAUAAGAAAGAAAUAAGCAAACUUUAUCAGGACAUGCAGAGAAAAGUGAAUUAAAUGAAGAAAAGCACAAAGAACUAAUAGAGAAAAAGGAGAUGGAAAUUUCAGAGUUAAA